This 5769-nucleotide unclassified non-coding RNA is filed under the name Mizuhopecten yessoensis (Yesso scallop). RNAcentral describes it as "lysM and putative peptidoglycan-binding domain- containing protein 3-like, transcript variant X2". Lineage: Eukaryota; Metazoa; Mollusca; Bivalvia; Pectinida; Pectinidae. The record is from RNAcentral.
UGCCAUGCAUUUCCGGAAACGAAACCGACUUUUGACAGGUCCGGGAUAGGCCUAGCUCCUAAAAAGCUCUGUUUACUCAAAUUUCCUUCCAUGGAAUUUGACAAUGGGUAUUCAAAUAUGAAAAUGGUUAAUUGUGUCUUAAAUGUUGAUACAUAAAUGAGUCAAAUAGCAACCUAAAACUGAAAGGUCUCUGUUAUGAGCAACGGGCACCUGCGACCCUCCUCCCGUGGGGGGCUGUUUGGUAAGAAAAAUGAAGACUACGUUUACAGUGGAGCUCAAGUCCAGAAUGUCAAAAAGAACCGGGUAUAUGUUUUCGGGGACACCGAUGUGGCGGAUGAUGAAGUCGUUGAAUUUGAAAUGGAAAUGCGAUCAAGAAAAGCGCCUAAGACCAUCGACCCAAAGGAAAAAGAACCUAUUUACUUCGAAAGAGAAGUCGCAGAAGGCGAUAGUUUACGAAGUCUGGCUCUUCAGUACGGUUGUGCGGUGUCGGAACUGAAAAGAAUCAACAACUUUAUACAAGAUCAGGAUUUCUAUGGUUAUAAAGUAGUAAAGGUGCCUUUAAAAAGGCAUUCAUUCCUGACGGAACAAAUCGCACGGGGGAAGGAAGAACAGACAAAACAGCAAUCAAGGACAGCACAGAGCAAUGGUAUGACGGUGGUGGAUGAAACAUGUGAAAGCAGUCAUGAUUUACAAGAUGAGACAGACAACGAUUCAAUUUGUGACAUGAGUGACCCUGAAACUCAAAAUUUGAUCAUACGAACAUUGAGUAUAAGCGAAGCACUCAAUAGCCAGUCUCGAGAUGCUAAAAACUUUUUACAUAACAUGGACAAGGAUUUGUCAGAAAUCAGACGUGCAAAUGACAGAACAAAUCGUCGCUCACUUGAUGAAGUUGUGUCUUUGUUAACUAACCGAACAAUUAGGCCUUUCCCGAAAAAUAGGAACAAGAGCGACGGUGCCAACUGGGGGAUUUCCUGGAAAUCACUUGUAAUUGGUCUUAUUGCCUUAGUAGUUAUAUGUCCUGUGAUAUUCUAUCUUUUUGUUAAAUAUUCCUAACAAUAGUUAUAAAGACUACUAGUUGUCAGGCAGUUAUAGGAAGGCUACAAAGUUAUUCAUAUAUUUAAUACUGCUAGAGUAAACAAAAAUUAUCCAUCUGCCGUUUUGUUAAUGUUGACAUCGUGUGAUGGGAGAAAGUUAUGAACAGAGACCAGAGGGCCUAACCAAGACUGACCCUUGUUCAUUGUGACAAGGGAAACAACUCCUUGUACACUAAGCAGAUGAAUCAAUAAAUCUUUCUUGUAGAUAUCUUAUAUGGUUACUUGAGCAUUGUCCAAAAUAACCGGUUAGUGCUCUGUGCAGAGAACAUCCUUCUCUGUGUAUACAUAUUUGAUAAAGUAAUUUUUUACUGCUCAAAAUAACUUGUUAGGCUGAAAAUAUUGCUGAAAUUUAUGUUUUAGUCAUUCGGCUCAAAGAGGAUAAAUAUGGAUAAUUUUAUUGAUAUUAGCAGGAUACAUUACUAGUACAUGUAUAGACAAAUACAUUGUUUUAGUGUUGGUAUACUUUUAUUCUGAGGUCUAAGGUCAAAUGUAUAACUAUAAGAUCUUGUCGGGCAUUGAAAUCACAUAAAUAUCUUAUACAACGAGGAAGAAACUUGAAUGAACUAAUAGUCUUCUUGUUUUUUAGAAGAAUGAUGUUACAUUUAGGCUGUAACUACCAAGGUAUUGUAAUGCACAACCUAUUGUUUGUGGCAUAAAAUGCAGGACAUUUUAUAUAAAUUUACACGUCAUGACAUGGCAAUGCAUAUUCUGACCUUAUAGCCAACAUAGGAUCCUUAUUGGCAAGAUUACUUAAUUACUCAUUAAGCGAGGUAUACAGAGUUAGAUGUUUACAAAAAAUAAUUAACAUAAAUACCAGUUGGUUAUAAGUAUGAGUUUGCAAUAAGCAGGUUCAAUAUAACUCUUCUUCACUGGAUACGAUUAAUAAGCUUCUUCCUUAGAACCAGUUUAACAGGGUAGAGGGAAGGGGCUUUAUAUCAAGCAUGUAGUUAUCAUAGUUAUUAUUGUACAUACAGUUCCUUAAUAUAUAAACACUGAACACUUUCUGUAAGAGUUGCUAAAACUUUAUUGAAAAAAUUAACAGAACGUUAUUAUACAUACACCUGUAUGUUUGUGAAUAUAGAGACCAUGUAUACUUGUAUGUGUGUGAAUGAAGAGGAAUGUUUUAAGAGAAAUACUAAGUUAAGUUAAUUUGCUAAUGUAUAUGUCUGCUUAUAUGUGAACCUUGUUGUGGUACAUGUCAUAUAAAUUUGUUUUAACUACUGUGUAGCUAAACAUAAUGUAUUCUGUUAAAUAUUUCGUCCGGAUCAAUUAACAUCAUGUACAGGAAAACAUGUUGAGUUCUCAUACUCAUAUAAUAGUUAUUGAAAAACUUAGUUUUAAUUUUAUUCAUUACAUGGUCAGAUUAUUGAUCACACAUCACAAAGUGAAGUGAGCAUGGAGGGUACACAUGCCACAGGUGGGCAAUUAUUAAAAAUAACAAAAAAUAAACAAUAGCAUUGGUUCAAGAAUACGUACAUGUACUGACUUUAAUAUUUGAUUGUCGUGUAUUACAUACUCUUUAUCUACGUAUCACUAUCUAAAUGUCUCUUUAUCUACGUAUCACUAUCUGAUGGUCUGUCUGGUUUACUUAUGGUAAAGGGUCAAAUUUGCAUAUCCCAGUUGAAAUGGUUCAGGUGGCGCAUAAAUAUUCUGUAGUAAACGAAUGCACUUGAAAUGAACUGUAGGCAGAGCUAAAAAAUGCACAGUUUCAGAGUUUUGUUACAAAUAGAUAAAAAUGUUCAAGAAUAAUAUGUCCUUCUUCGCAAGUCCAUUAAGUUAAACAACAUAUCUUCAAAUGUUGACCUUGUUUUAUAAAGAAUUAACGCAAACUAGCAGUAUUCAGCAUUUCAGUUCCGGUCAGGCACGUCUGGACCUCUCGAUAUGCCCAAUAUUCCUAAAGUGAGCCUCAGUUCAGAUCUGAGCCUGUCAUUGUCUUUUCAUGAUCAGCUGGUUGAAUUGUUUGACCAUGAAGGGGCCCAGGUUUUCCAGUGUAAAAUUUGUUGCAAUAACAGUCGGUGAUAAAUGUGUACAAAUGGCCUUAUAUAUGUAUGGUUUUAUUUGAAUUAAUAGAACUUAACCAUUCCAUAUAACAUGUAUACAGAAGUCGAGCAGCUAAACAUAGAUAUCCCUGUGUUUGUAGUUAAUGGAAAUCUGACAAUGUAGUGAUUUCAGUGACUAGAUAGAGAAAUGGUGAUUUCACAAUCAAUUCAAAGUAUUGGUGAUAGAUUACUUCAUAUUUAAUUAGAAGUCAUUUCACAUCAUUUAUAUGCAUCAUCACAUUUCCAUGGUGGUUGUCUCCAAAAAUAACACAGUGUAUUGUUAGAUAACUUUCAUAUUUUCAUUAUCCCCUGUUUUCAUUUCAACCCACAAUUAAUGUACUGUACGUCCCCAUAAAUCCCAUUUCUAUCUGCUAAACCUGUACUGAGGGAGUUGUUUUAUAGAGAUUCCUGGAGUCUUACAAACGGAACACUAUUAAAGAGGGACCAAAACUCUUCAAUUAGAAGAAUAAUCAUCACCAAAUGUUAGGUUACAAUAAUAGUAAGAUGAUAUGAUAAAAAAAGGCUUUGGAAUAGUAAAACAACAGCAACAGGGAAUACAAGAUAACUAAGUUUAUAACAGCAACACUUGACUGCAUAUACCAGACCUAUCAAAUGAGGACUACACAUUGAUUAAAGCGUACCUAAAGAUAGACAUUCCAGGGUUAAAAUUUAAAGGGAUUUCUGAUUUUAUCCAGGGUUAGAAAUUUGGAAAAGAAAAAAAUAUUAUGUAAGUUGAGUGUCAAACCUAUUUUACAACUAAAAAAGACACACCAAAUUUUGAUACUGUGCCUUCUUCAGACUGCAUUUUUAAAAGGCUAGUUUAUGUACUGUUACUGGAAAAUCUAAGUCUUCUAUAAACUAUGAUAUCACUGUCAAUAGAGGAGUGUUGUCAUACAAUAUCAUGAAAAUAAUGGGAAGCCAUUUAUAAAGAAUCAUAGUAGUCAUGGUUGUGUUUGAUAAUCUUUGGACGGCCAAUCUUACAGCAUUACUGUAGUGAUACACUAACUAUAUAGGUACAUGUCUGCACACAGCUAUACGACACCAGUGAUUACACAUACAAGUCAAUAUUUAUCUAGAAAUACUUUGAACUAGAACAGUUUGCCUUACCAGCUGUUUGUCCUCAACCUUUUGAAACAGCCCUGCUUAGUAUUGAUCACAACUAUGUAUACUCUGCUAACUGUAUGGAAAUUCACUUUGUUUCUUCCCAUGUUAGAUAGGUCUUGCUUCAGCUAAAUGGGAAAUAGAAAAGGAGGCAAACAUUUCGGUAAUUUAUCAACCUGAAUUCUUUUAUCAGAAUUGUCUUCGUUCUCCGAUUGGUUGUUCAGGUUGUAAUAUCAGUUUAUCAUAUUUAUAGGACCACUAUUUAUAUCCUUACUAUUACAGUGAUGUGUAAACCUACUGAUCAAUAACUGAACAAUUAACCAAACUCUAGCUAAUAAUAUACAUUGGCAAUUUAGUGUAAAACUAUAUUAACUCAGGAUUUGAUAGAAGAUGCUUGUAUAUUGACUGGCAAGCAAAAAAAGUUCAAUAUUUGCACAUUUUGCUUCAAAACUUUCAUUAAAACUGUGUUUGUUAAAAGUGUGAUGAGAGUUUACAUAGAACAAGGUAUUUAGUGCUUUAAUCAUAAUUGUUUCUUGUAUGUAAGUUUUACAAAAUGAUGCUUUAAUUAAUUAUAUGAGGAUCAGUAUCACAUUGGAAAAUAUGGACCAGAACAGCAAUGCUAUGAACCAGUGCUAAAAAUGUCUUCUUUAACUUAUCUGUUUAUUGGUGAAAAGGCUAGUUUCUGUUAUGAUGAAGCAUGAUUAUAAUCAUGAUAUUAGAAGUAUUAUUAUUUACAUUGUAAUCGUGACCAUGUAGGCCGUGGAUACAUUUUCUGUGCACAAUGAUCAAUAUAUAAUCAACAAUCUGUAGAUAAAUAUUCUGCAUUCCACGAUUUGAAUGUUAGAUGUAUAUUCUUUGUUCAGUGGUAUGUAGAUACAUGUGUUCACUCAGUGAGUUUUGUGGAACUUGCCCACAUUUUGAGAACCUCCUUUAUCCCUUAGUAAUAAGACUCAUCAUUUUUUUUAAUAUGACACUUAGGACUCAUCUCUACAAAAUCCUACAAAAGUCACUGUUCAAUGAUCGGUAGCUACAGUAUAUAAUAUAGAUACAUAUUGUGUGUUCAAUGAUUAAUAUUGAGCAAGGUGGACUUCAGCUAAUUGUUACUAAGCAAAGGCUGAUCUCCAGUAAAAUGCUCAUAAUAUUUUGUUUCAAGCACCUCUGUGUGAUCUAAACUGCCUUCCUAUAAAAGCAAGCUUGUUGUAAAAUAUAUUUCUACUGUUUUCACUGCAUCUGCUUUUGGCAGAAGUAGUCUGCAAGAAAUGUUAAAUUGAAAUAUAUGUUAAAGACAUGUUGAUGAGCUACUUAAUUAGCUGUGGAUACUGUAGUUGAUUGGCCUGGGUUUAUCGGAACUGAUAUAGCCUUUAGUCAGAAUACUUGUACAUGUGUAACACAGGUCAGUGAGCUAACAGAUCCACAACUACACACUGCUGCUUCAGGUCAGUGAGCUAACAGGUCCACAGCUACACACUGCUGAUUCAGGCCAGUGAGCUAACAGGUCCACAGCUACACUACUGCUUCAGGUCAGUGAUCUAACA